AAUGAAAGAGCGAAAGGAAAAAAAAGGAAAUCGUGACACAUAUCCUGUAAAUCUUUCGCUCUUUUAUAAACGCAGGAUUUAAGGGAUACGCUAAACUCGUAAUUGUUGAGUAUUACGCAAUGUUAUAAGAAUCCAACGGAAAGUUUGACCGUUUGAAUAAAGCCAUAAAAAUUGUUUGUUUUUAUCAGAAAAACCAAUAUAUUGCAAGAAUGCCAUAAAAAAUAGCAAAAUAAUUUAACAAAGGGAAAAUAGCUGCACAGAUUCGCGUAGGGGGAGAGAGAAAGUGUGUGAAUGCAAAAUCACAUGGCCUCGUUGUCACUGGGACCUCAGCCGCAUCAGCAUAAUCCACCGUCCGACCAUCAAUAUCAUCAUCAUCAUGCUCCGCCGCCAGCUGCCGCUGCUCACAUGGACGCCGAUAAGGUACCUUGCUUAUACAUACAUUUACAUGGUGAUUUUCUUGUCCUUUGCUGCCGCAUUCUGUUUCCUACGUGAAAAUCGAGCUGGGUUCCUCUUGGCUUACCUUGAUCUAGCUGAGAAGCUUCAGUUUUUGCUCGAUCUUUGCUUUUAAUGCUUUGACGAGGAUUAGAAGUGGUUGCCGCGGGUAUAUUCGUCGAAUUUUUGGGCGAUCUGGGAGUUUGUACUGUUCUGUUGGCGUUUCUACUUCUAGCUAGGUUUUGAAGUUUUCAGCCGGAUUUUGGAGAUGUUUUCUUUUCUUGCUUUAAUUUCUGGGCUAAAUGAUUCUGUGAAUAUUUUAAUUAUGAUUUUUUCUUUUCUUUCUUACAAUUUCUGGGAUUCUUUACUACUUCAUCCAUUUUGUGAAUAUUUUCACCUGUCGAGGUACCUUAUCUUUUUGUAAGGUUUAACAUAUAUUUAUCUUUCCUUUUUCAGAAUUCUUUGAUUUUUCUUUCUUUUUAUCUGUGUUAUAUUUACGUGCAACGUUUUUACAAAUAUGGUUAUUCUUUUCCCGCUAUUGUUAGAUCUGCAACGUUCUAUAUGGCUCAUUUUUAUGUUAACAUGAUUUUUCUUUAAAUUAGUUUUUAACUAACGUAAUUUGUUUUUUAAAGUUGCUUACUUCCUUAGGUAAAGUGUUUAGCUGCUUUUGAUUAACUUUAGAUGAAUCAUGCUUGAAUCUGAUGAAUUGGGGUUUGCUUCAAGUGGUUGGCUGACGGUCGAUUCUCCUUAAACUAUUGCAGUCAGCUUGUUUGAAUUGCAAGUUGUCUGGCAUGUGAUGCUUUCUUGGAAGCCCUAGAUUUUGCCAAACAUUGCUUCUUCUUCUUCAUUUUUUUUCUCGUUUGUGUGUUCCAAACAGAACAUAUCCUUUUGAGCCUUGUGCUUUUGGGUUCCCAAUUCACAUUUCACCAGGCAUUUUAUGGUUUUAUAGCUGAGUGUGGCUGAUAAUAUGGUACUGCUCACAUGAGGUUUUGGGAGCUAGGUUGGUUGUUCUUAGUGGUUUCCAUCUUUGUUUAUGUCUGAUGCUUUGGCUUGUUUUACAAUGCAGGAGAUGCCAGCUUCUGCAGUUGAUGUGAAUGAUCCAAUAACUAGCCACAUUAUAUCAACUACAAUUGGAGGCAAAAAUGGAGAGCCCAAAAGGGUUGGUGUUUGAGCUUCAUCUUUCAAGUCCCAUAGACCUUGUCUAUUGAGUGUUACAAAUGUUUUAGAAGUAGUUAGAGGAACUUUGAAAUGUUUUACUUAAUGAGAUUUAUGCACAAUUAGGGUUACUUCUGUGGGCUAUCUAGUUGGUCAGAGGUAAGAGGUUUUCUUGUGGUUCUUUUUGCAGACGAUUAGUUACAUGGCAGAGCGUGUUGUGGGCACAGGAUCAUUUGGAAUAGUUUUUCAGGUCUGUUGUCCUAAUAUAAUAUGAAUGCUUAUCAUUUCUCCUCUGUCCUCUUAAUUAAUGAGUUUUAGUCACUCUUCACUAGGCAAAAUGCUUGGAAACAGGAGAGGCAGUAGCCAUAAAGAAGGUUUUGCAGGAUAAGCGCUAUAAAAAUCGUGAACUGCAGUUAAUGCGCUUGAUGAAUCAUUCAAAUGUGAUAUCUCUGAAGCACUGUUUCUUUUCUACAACAAGCCGGGAUGAACUUUUCCUUAAUCUGGUCAUGGAUUAUGUCCCUGAGACCAUGUACAACGUUUUAAAGCAUUACAGCAGUUCAAAUCAAAGGAUGCCUCUCAUAUAUGUCAAACUCUACACAUAUCAGGUUUCAAUCAACAUGUUCUGUUUUUUCCGGGUAACUUCUCUAUGAUUCUAUUAUAUCUAAUUCAGAUAUAAUUAUGCACAUAUUUUUCAGUUAUUUAGGGGGCUUGCAUAUAUCCAUACAGUUCCCAGGGUAUGCCAUAGAGAUAUAAAACCUCAAAAUGUUUUGGUAAGUUUCCUCAAGUCUCCUCUUUCCUGCUGGCAACCCAAGUCCCCCACCUGUCAGAUUGUGUUGGACCAUUUGCUACUUUAUGUUGAAGUAAUCGUAUGUGUGGCCUGCAGGUUGAUCCUCUUACCCACCAGGUCAAGAUUUGUGACUUCGGAAGUGCUAAAGUUCUUGUAAGUUCAUUGUCUUUCUAGUUAGUCACAUAAAUUCCCAUAAUCAUUAUGUUGAGGCAUCUUUGAAGUGCUUCUAUACAUGUUUUGUGUGAAUAUUCAUAUGUGAAUUAUGGAAUGUAUAUGGAGCCUAAUAUACUCUACACUUUUCCUGUUGGCAAAAUUUUGAAGUGUUAUACCGGUACUUUGGAAAAUUCACAAAUAUAUUAGGUUGCUUUUUCUUCCUAUAUUAAGGUAUUAGGAGGAGCCUCCACACUGCGUAUGGGGAGGGGGGGAUGCGAUUCCAAAAUACGUUGUAAUUAUUUUAUUUUAUAUAGUGCAACUUUGCACUGCACAUGGUGUAGCAGUUCUGAAAUUAAGGGCGAAACAAGUUAAAUCGCAUGUUAUUUUUGCUUUCGUUUUUCUUAUUUAGUAUUAUUAAUUGCUCUCUAAAAUCAGAUUAUUUGUUUAAUCCAUACAUGAAUGACAUCGUCAUCAGAUUUUAUCUUAUGGUACAUUUCAAAUACCAGCUGGAGAGGAAUAUAAAAUUCUAUCCAAGAAAACCAACAAAGAAUGACCGUCUUAUAAGAAACAUUUUGCCAGGUUGUUUUACAGUUUUCAGGGCUAAAAGAAUUAUAAAUCAUAUGAUCGUAUAAACAUUUCUUGUGUCGAAGACUAGGAAGACGAAUAAUCCCUUCUAGAAUUAUUUGCUCCCUGCUUACUUUGAAUAAACAAAGAGAAGGUAGAAUAAUAGGGAAGAUGUGUACAAUGUUGGUUGGAGGAGAAGAAAAAAGGUGCUUGGAGAAUUCCUAUUAUGUUUGGUUUAUUACACCCAUUAUGCCUUAGACGGAAUGCUCCCAUUGUAAUUAGAAGGGAUGGUGUUGUAUUCCAUGGAGAGAGGUUUACUAAUUGUUGAGUGUGUUAGUUUUAGGUGAACGUUUAUUUCCAUAGGCACUCCAAGGUUGUAUUGAUACUUCUAUCUGCAGGAAAAGGCGGGGGCAUAGCCCUAUAUUUUAUUGUCUUCAUUGUUAUCUACAAUUUGACAUAAAUAUUGAUUUUCAUUAUCAUUGAUUUAUAUGAUUUUUAAUAUUAAAAACAUAACUUAUGGUUCAAGGAUUUUUUUUUUAAUUUUUAUAAUUCUCUAUGAAUUAUCACUUGUGCAUUUAAAAUUUGUUAUAAUCAGGUGGAGGGUGAAGCUAAUAUAUCCUAUAUAUGCUCUCGUUAUUAUCGAGCCCCAGAACUCAUAUUUGGUGCAACAGAAUAUACAACAGCAAUUGAUAUCUGGUCCGCUGGUUGCGUCCUCGCUGAGCUUCUAUUGGGGCAGGUUUGGAACGUACAUGUUAAGGCAUCUUGCUGAGUAAUAUUUUAGUCUUCUAUCACAUUUUCCUUACUUUUUCACUAUGUUCUUUUUGGUGGGGAGGCAGCCUCUUUUCCCUGGAGGAAAUGCUGUCGAUCAACUUGUAGAGAUAAUCAAGGUGAGCCCUUCUCUAUAUUGCAUUUCUAUGGAAUCUAAAUACUGGUGUUUUUGUUGUCCCUUUUACUAACUGCAAGACUUUCUCAAGUAGGUUCUUGGUACUCCAACUCGAGAAGAAAUUCGAUGUAUGAAUCCAAGUUAUACCGAUUUCAGGUUUCCCCAGAUUAAAGCUCAUCCAUGGCACAAGGUAUGACUGCAGUUAUACAUGCAAUUUUCUCAGUGGUUUACACCAAAAUAUUCAGUUAAAAAGUAGAUGAUAUUUUGGUGCAGGUUUUUCACAAGCGGAUGCCUCCUGAAGCCAUUGAUCUUGCUUCUCGCUUGCUUCAUUACUCUCCAAGUCUUCGCUGCACGGCUGUAUGUUUAAUUUGAAGUCACUCUUGUGAAGUUCUAUUGAAAAUCUGCCUUCACAAGCAUAUAGACUUGCUUUUUAUCAAUUUAUGGAGAUGAUUGAACUAUCCUUCCCCCCCCCCCCCCCACACCCACAGAAGAACGAAAAAAAAAGUUAAAUGAACUGUUGACCAUUUUAUGUAUUAAUUAAUUUUCUUUUACAAUAAUUGUUAAUAAAAUCUAAGGAAUUGUUGUUCUGUCUCUGCAGCUAGAAGCAUGUGCCCAUCCUUUCUUUGAUGAGCUUCGGGUGCCCAAUGCCCGCCUCCCAAAUGGCCGUCCUUUCCCCCCUCUCUUUGACUUUAAACAGGAAGUAUGUUUUCAAACUAUUCUCAUUGACUUCUGUAAUAAUAUUACUAUUUUCCUGGCUCUUCCCGAUAUCGAGAAAAUUUCUGAUGGUCAUUGCAUUUCAUUAUGUAAGUGCCUAAAGUUACUGUAUUCUGUCAUAUCAAUAAAAGUGAGCAGGCAUGCCCCAGCUUCCUUAAGAUUUGUUGAGCGGCUUGAAAGUAUUCACUCCAUUUACUUUUGUUAGAGGGGAUUUGUGUGGCCUUCAUCAAUUUUGAACACAGAUCUAUCUCCAUACAAAAUUGAUGAAAGUUUCUUGCUUACUGACAACUUCCCGUUGAUAAGGGAGAGAGAAUGGGUCCACUCUCAUGUUUGCUUGAUAGCAGAAUCCAAAUAUUUUUGAAGUUACAUGUUUAUUGUGGAGAAGGGCAAAUAUAUAUAUACACUCUCAUCAAACAGUGCAAAAGCAUAAGGCUGACAAUCAAAAGGUUAAUACAAUAAAAAGCAGAGAUAGAAGAUGACUACUUGGUGCAUCCUAUCAUCUUGCUAGUGUUUUUUUGUUGAUAUAACUUUUUGGUUGUCACUAGAGUAUUAUGGUUAAACUUAAUUUUAUUUUAUUAAAAAAUCAGACUAUUUGUAAAUUCCGGAACAAAAUCUUAUAACAGAAGGACAAUUAAUUUUUUUUAAAGGGAUCAUGAACAUUCUAGAUCUUUGGUUUCUUUUGUUGCUAUCCCUCUCUUCUAAUAAUUUAUUGACAUUAUGUAUUAAGUAGAUUCUGUAUUGAACUUUUAUUUUCUGACACAAUUACAAUAGUGAGCAAAUAUUUUCAUUUGUCUAUUUGCCUACUUGAAAUGGGUCCUUGGAUUUCAUGAUCAACUCAUGCUUAUUUCAGUUACUGUUCUUUUGCACAGUCUUGUCACAUUUAUGAGUUUUCUCCUAGCUCAAUCAGUUUAUAUUUUACCUCUGUAGCCAUGCAGUUGUUAAUUGUUUAGCAUCAAAUUCUCCUUGUUACAGUUGGCUGGAGCAUCACCGGAGUUGAUAAACAGGUUAAUACCAGAGCAUGUUCGAAGACAAGCUAGCUUGAGUUUUCCCCAUCCUGGUGCAACAUGAUUAGUGGGGUUACAUAAUCAUCUGUUCAUUUAGUUGAAGGAUAUGUACCAAAUUGCUUAAUAUCAUCAAGCGUUUUGGCCCAAGUCGAUAGUUUUUGACGCCCCAAAAAUGAUGUAUGCACAUUGUGGCUGUUCUGGUUAAUUAGAAAGUUGCUGAGUUCUAUCUGGUAUGUCCUCUUAGCUACAAAAAGUUCCAUCGUUAUUGUAUAUUGUAUUGUUUUGAUUUUGAUCGAGAUUUUGAAACUUAGGCAUUCAAACGAUCGAACUACUUUCAAAUUGUGUAGUUUUUGUUUGUCACUUCACUUCUGAUGAGUUUCUUUUACAUACUAAUUUCCAGAUUCUUAAAGCCCUAUUGAGAUUACUAUUCCUUCCCUCCAUAUUCUUGUGACAUAUUACUAAUUUUUCAGAUUAAUACUAGUUUGAGACGGCGGUCGAGCCAGUUGUAACUGUUGUCAUCUGAUGAUCGAUCAUAUAUCAUAACAGUUAUCAUAUAGCAUGAGAAUUAUGUUGAGAGAUAUGACUUUUUUGCUAUAAU
RNAcentral lists this long non-coding RNA (6290 nucleotides) under Olea europaea subsp. europaea. The record is from RNAcentral. Lineage: Eukaryota; Viridiplantae; Streptophyta; Magnoliopsida; Lamiales; Oleaceae.